GGGCGACGAGACGAGGAGCCCACGGCCCACGGGUGGGCGCAGCGCCGCGUAGCCUGCCGGGUUACUAAACAUGGUAAACAAAGUGGAGCCUCCAAUCAGCGCUCGACACCUCCCGCUGCGCCCCGCCCCCGCAUCCUUCCGCGCCGGGCAUGGGCACCGCGUCGGCGCGCGCCCCUACCCAGUCGUCGACUUGAUGCUGCUCACUCGCACUCGUCGCAGCGCCCCACGCCCCGCUAUUUAUGCGUACUUGCUUGCCGGGAGAGUCGCUGGAGGUGGGCGUCCUCCUCCCGCUCCAGAGCUCGCUGCUUCGCUCCACCCACCCGUAGGUCCCCUCCCCUCCUCCUCCUCCCUCCCCUGUUGCUGCUGCUUAGCUUGCUUCAACCAUCAUCUGUUCAUCAUGUUCUUCUUCUUGGACACGGAUUAUGGAGAGAGGCUCUUGGAUUGGUCACUGAAUGUCUGGAUCCUCUGUUGCGUCUCUCCUGCUCCCGUCUGGGACUGGCUCCUCGAUCGGGGGGCAGCUAGAGCGCGAUAGGUUUUUGUUUUUGGACCACUCAUCAGAAAGGAGAUAUGCUUGCUCCUUCAGUCCUUCAGUACAAGGAUUGAUAGCUAGCUUGAUGGAUUGUUGGGGGGGAAGGGAGGAACAGAACCUGCAAAAAGCUGGCGUUUUUCACUUGGUUCUAUAUGUUUCUGGUUAGCUUUGACAUCGUACGCAUAUUUGAUAGGACGAUGGCUGCGGCUAGCAAACUUAGCAUGCUAAAUUUUAGAAGAUGGGAAGAUUAACACCCCGAGAACCCCCUUUUUUUUUCUUGUUUUUUGGGGCUGCUGAUAACUAGCGAAUGGAUAGUGUUUGUUAGCUGUCGCUAUUAAGCUGCUCUAGUAUCGUGAGAGGAAGGAGAAGGAGUGCUGCAAGUCCAUUCCGUGGCCUUUUACAGUUACCCGUGGUUUUUCUUGCAUUCUCGGCAUGGUCCAUGUGCCACGUCGGGGAGACCAGAUUUCGACACGAAAGAUUGGGAACGAAACGGCGCUGCUAUAAUCUCUUGAUCAUGGGGGAGUAGGAAAUGGGGAUCCGUUGAUCUGCUUUCCGUAGCUGCUAGUAUUCAUGUCUUCGCAAAAGUAGCAUGAUGCUUUCUGUUGUUUGUUAGCACCGGAUUGUUCCUGAUAAGUUCUCCAUGUUAGGAUCCAGAUGUGUUUCCGGAAAUGUUAGUGAACCUCGUUUAUUGGAUUGCACCCUGUUUUGAAACAGCAGGGCUUUUCUCAUGACACAGGACUACAGGAGUGAAAACUUGUAAUCCCCAUCUGUUGAAAAACAAUGUGAAAUGAAAAUCUUGCACCAUAAUCGCAUACUACUGGAAGUUUCAAAUGAUAUUAUUCAUCAUUAGUCUUAGCCUCAUAGGUUGCUUCUUUCAUUUUUUUUAAGGAACUGCUUCUUCAUAUUGUGAAUAAUUUAGAGGCAUAGCUAUCUGUUGUUUUGUAAUCUCUGAGUUAUUAGCUGAAAAUAGUACAUGCAUACUACAACAGAAGGGCCUAAUUUUGCAUUACCAAUAGCACAGGCACUUCAAUUUUCUUGAGACAGAGGGGGAAAAUGGCAUUCAUUUAAUCAUUUCAGCAUAUAUAAGGAGAACCUUGACAUUGUGCAAUUCCGUAACAGAACUCUGACCUGCUCUUACAUUUUGUUGUCCAUAGCUAAAUGAUCAUAAUUGUUGGAAAAAUACUGUCAAAAACAACUCCGGUGAUUUUUUUUUUAUCACAAAACAUACAUGCUAGAUGAAUUGUGCAACAAAUGUUAUAAAAAGAAACAGAUAAAGCCCGUUCCAUGAAACCUCAUUUGCUGUUAAUGGCGGGUAAAGGAACUUGAUCUUAUUAUUAGGCUACACCGAUUAUUCCAUGAUUUAAAUUUAUGAUACUUAUGACUUCAUAUAAGAACCACAUGUUGUAGCACUGGUUAUGUUAGAGUGCAGAUUUUGUGCCCAGGGGGCUGGCACUGGCACCCUCGUUAGCUAUACCAUGUUGCAAUCUUUCAAAAUUCAUCACGAAAUCAUGUAUCUAGUACACAAAGUUAAGUAUAGUUGCAAUUUGAAAUUCAUCCUAUAUGCCAAGAAACAAAAUAGACAAGCAGUCAACCUGACACUGUUCAUCAUGUGUUGAUAGUGGCACUUCUGUUUUUUUUUUUAAUCUCAGCGUCAAAGAUGGAUUUCAAACUGAAUUGUUGCGGCUAAACUUAACUUUAGGUGUACUACAUACAUGAUUUUUGAAACAUUGCAACAUUAAGACCAGAGAGAAGUAACAAGGACUAUGCAAAUGACCAAAAUACUCAUAUAGUUGAUAUGACAACACACUGGUGUUGCGCUUUUGCGGACGAUGCGGCAACUUCUAGUGAACUUCUGGUGACCUCGUGCGUGAACGAGUGGUGGAGACUCGUUAGGAUGAUUUUUUUAGAAGUCUCUUGCGUGAGCUGAUAGCAGGUCUGGAAGGUGUUGUUAGCUACUCCCUCUGUCCCAAAAAGAGUGUCGUUUUAGGUUUUCGUGCCACAAGUUUGACUCGAUUUGUAGAAAAUAUGUGCAAUAUUUGUGUCUCCAAAUAAAUUUGUUAAAAAACUAGACUUUAAGAUCUUUCUAAUGAUACUAAUUAUGUACUAUAAAUAUUAAUAUUUUUUACUAUAUAUUUAGUUAAAGUUAUUUCUUGGGAAGCGCAAACGACACUUAUUUUGGGACGGAGGGAGUACAUUACACAAAUACGGGUACGAGUAUCCGAUACAAUACGUAUCAGAUACACAGAUACACACUUUCUCAAAAGAAAACCCACUAAAAUGGUGUAUCUAAGUAUCCGUAUCUGUAUCCGCGUAUCCGAUGAGUAUCGGAUAUGGAUACGUCACCCCCCUUAGUGUAUCCGUGUAAGGCUGUUAGUGUGGGUCCCUCAUCUUAGGUCUAGAGUAUAGCUAUGCACACAACUUUAGCAUUUAUUUGUGGAAAAUUUUGAACUCGUCGAUUGCAGUAUUUUGGAGUAUCUAAAUCUACCUUAUAUCUAGAUAUUUAGCAAAAUUGAUGAAUAAUUUAGAACAAAUGACGUAACAAUCUAUCCACUUUUGGUAGGAACACCCAUAAAUAGUCUAAGUAUAUGCUUGGUGUAUAAGGCUCAACACUCGCCCCUCCUCCUCCUCCUCGUCAGCCCCCGCACCUCUCUCUUCCCCUCUUGCUCAAGAGUCACCGGUUGUGCCAGCCUCAUGCUCUCCCACGAUUGGGCCUUGAAGAUCUCCUCCGAGGUCCUUGCCGCUUGUGUGCCUUCCUCCUCACCAAGCCUCUCCUCUUCCUUCUAGUCGAGCUUGAUACUAUUUCCUUUUCACGGAGCCCCUCCUUACCCUCCUUGUCGACCCAACACUAAGCUUUUUUUCAUGUGAUUCUUGUGAAAAGCUCGUUGAGGAAGAAAUCCAACUUUAAUUCAAAGCGAGUUUACAAGUUAUUCCAAAUAGAUUCUAAAACUAGCCCUUGUUCCUUAAAGAAAGGAGAGAAACUCGCUUCUUUAUUCCUAAAGAAACAUAGUUGAUGGUUUCAAGAUACUCGUCAAUCUAUGGCAUAGAUACGAUGUGCGAACUACAUAAUGUAAUUUACUUCCGUACAAGAGUUUAUAUCAUGACAAUUUUUUUAAUCAAUGUAGAGACACUAACACUUAUAUAUAUGCUUGCACACUUAUCCAAUAAACACAAUAUAUACACUUUAUCUCCAAUGUUUCGGUUAGUAGAUCUUAAGAUUGAUGAAUUCACAAUCUCGAUACUAACGAACACGCCACUAUCAUAGGAAAAAUAGCAUUAAAUUCUAAAGGAAAUCAUAAAAAAGAUACGAAUACCGAUAGUAUCAAGCAACUCAAUGCACUAAAUGAACCAGAUACACAAAUCGGUCUGUUUCCCUUACAGUUGAGUAAGGUUGAUUCCUUUGUCAUUCGCUUUUUUUAAAAGAAUUCACUAUUGUAUAAAUUAGUUAUAAAUUUAUUUAGAUUUAACAGACAUAAACCCUAAAUAAAUCUAUGAUUCACUGUGUAUGAUUUUUUUACUAAAGUUCAAGCAUACAAAAAAUUAGGCUAUCAUAAAAAUUUCACCACAAUUGGACCAUAUAAACUGUAGUUAUGAAUUAUUCCAACUAAUUACAGAAAAACAUAGAUAUAAAUCUACAACAAAACUUUAUACUGAAGCAUAUUAUAUUAUAUAUUCACUAUGUAGAUCUAUUGCUGUGGAGUUCAACAAAAUUAGAUUUUCCAUUUUAUACUUUUUUGUGAUUUAUUAUGAUUUUUUAAAUAUUUAGCUGAAAUAAAUAAAAAAGACAGACAAAACCGCCUUCAAAACUACUCCAGAGAGGUAAAAUGUACGGUUUGAAAAAUUGAGAGAUGUGAUUUAUCCAGUUUUGAAGUUCACAAAAGAAAAAUAGGCUUUUACAAACAUUUUAAGGAGGAAAAGUGGAUUUUUUUUCCCCUUGGAUUUCCGUGGCAUGCUCUGUUUUACUAUGUAGUGGCCCUAGCCAUAGUUGGCCCCGCAGCAAAGGUCUCGGCCAAUGUCGACACAGUAGCCUACCUGAGCGAACUACCAUAGAAGCUUGCGUUUGCUCGAGACUGUCGAGAGGCCCAUCCGGCCACGGCCACGGGCCAUCCCAACUGGUUCCUCUCCGAAUCCUUGUUGGCUUGCUCAGGCCUUGUUUAGUUUUCAAAAUUUUUUAAGAUUUUUCGUCACAUCAAAUCUUGCGGCACAUGUAUGAAGUAUUAAAUAUAGACGAAAAGAAAAACUAAUUACACAGUUUGUCUAUAAAUCACGAGAUGAAUCUUUUAAUUCUAGUUAGUCUAUGAUUUGAUAAUAUUUGUCACAAAUAAACGAAAGUGCUAAAAUAGCGAAAUCUAAAAAUUUUCGCAAACUGAACUAGGCCUCAGUCACCAAAGAUAAUCCAUUGUCCGGACGGGGGUGGCAUCCGACGCUAGAGUAGUUCAACAAAUCAGAGAACAGUACAGGCUUCCUAGGUGUUAAAAUUGACGAACAAACCUGAUCCUGCUAGUGCUAGUAGCACUUAGAAUUGAUUGGAGAAAUUUAGCUGCAAUAAGAGAUGAUCGAAAGCAGACCCAUCAGUAUUGUCUUGUUUAGUUUCAGGGUGUAAAGUUUUAGGGUGUCACUUCGAGAUGUUACAUAUGAUGUUCCGAUACUAAUAAAAAAUAAAUUAUAGAAUCCGUUAGUAAUCUGCAAGAUAAAAUUAUUAUCCAUAAUUAAUCUAUCAUUAGCACGUGACAUGCUGGUUUUCAUUACUAAUAAUAGUAGUACGUAUAGUAUAGUACAUUAGUACCCACUACCAACAACGCUACAAGUUGUUUACAUGCUGCCUAGAUUACCCAAAUCAGUUAAGUACACACAUGCAGUGGGACCACGUGGCCUUAGAUAAAAAAAACUACAGUACUAUGCAACAGCACACAGGCGCAGGUUGGGCGACGAGACGAGGAGCCCACGGCCCACGGGUGGGCGCAGCGCAGUGUAGCCUGCCGGGUUACUAAACAUGGUAAACAAAGUGGAGCCUCCAAUCAGCGCUCGACACCUCCCGCUGCGCCCCGCCCCCGCAUCCUUCCGCGCCGGGCAUGGGCACCGCGUCGGCGCGCGCCCCUACCCAGUCGUCGACUUGAUGCUGCUCACUCGCACUCGUCGCAGCGCCCCACGCCCCGCUAUUUAUGCGUACUUGCUUGCCGGG
RNAcentral lists this long non-coding RNA (5708 nucleotides) under Sorghum bicolor (sorghum). Its description in RNAcentral is "long non-coding RNA (SBIC_LNC000139)". The record is from RNAcentral. Lineage: Eukaryota; Viridiplantae; Streptophyta; Magnoliopsida; Poales; Poaceae.